CCUACGGGAGGCAGCAGUGAGGAAUUUUCCGCAAUGGGCGAAAGCCUGACGGAGCAAUGCCACGUGGAGGAGGAAGGCCUGUGGGUCGUAAACUCCUUUUCUCAGAGAAGAAGUUCUGACGGUAUCUGAGGAAUAAGCAUCGGCUAACUCUGUGCCAGCAGCCGCGGUAAUACAGGGGAUGCAAGCGUUAUCCGGAAUUAUUGGGCGUAAAGCGUCCUGAGGUGGCUUACCCAGUCGACUGUGAAAGCUCAAGGCUUAACCUUGAAACGGCAGUCGAAACUUGUAAGCUUGAGUACGGUAGGGGCAGAGGGAAUUCCCGGAGGAGAGGUGAAAUUCGUAGAUAUCGGGAGGAAGGCCAAAGGCGAAAGCACUCUGCUGGGCCGAUUACUGACACUGACAGACGAAAGCUAGGGGAGCGAAAGGGAUUAGAUACCCCUGUAGUCCUAGCCGUAAACGAUGGAUACUAAGUGUUGCGCGACUCAAAACGUGCAGUGCUGCAGCUAACGCGGUAAGUAUCCCGCCUGGGGAGUAUGCCGCAAGGGUGAAACUCAAAUGAAUUGACCGGNNGAGAGNGCGAGACGACGACGAGGGAGAG
Molecule: ribosomal RNA, 595 nt
Filed under: uncultured bacterium
Lineage: Bacteria
Description: bacterial SSU rRNA
Rfam family: Bacterial small subunit ribosomal RNA
Source: RNAcentral